CGAACGGGUGAGUAACGCGUGAGUAACCUGCCUUACACAAGGGGAUAGCCUUUGGAAACGAAGAAUAAUACCCUAUAAAACCAUAAAAGCACAUGCAAUUAUGGUCAAAGUGAUAGCGGUGUAAGAUGGACUUGCGUCUGAUUAGCUAGUUGGUGAGAUAAAAGCCCACCAAGGCAACGAUCAGUAGCCGGCUUGAGAGAGUGUACGGCCACAUUGGGACUGAGACACGGCCCAG
This 235-nucleotide ribosomal RNA is filed under the name uncultured Eubacteriales bacterium. Its description in RNAcentral is "uncultured Clostridiales bacterium partial 16S ribosomal RNA". It matches the Rfam family "Bacterial small subunit ribosomal RNA", at positions 99 to 334 of the family's 1533-position model. Lineage: Bacteria; Bacillati; Bacillota; Clostridia; Eubacteriales. The record is from RNAcentral.